RNAcentral lists this ribosomal RNA (459 nucleotides) under uncultured bacterium. RNAcentral describes it as "partial 16S ribosomal RNA". It matches the Rfam family "Bacterial small subunit ribosomal RNA", at positions 338 to 795 of the family's 1533-position model. The record is from RNAcentral.
CCUACGGGAGGCAGCAGUGAGGAAUAUUGGUCAAUGGCCGGGAGGCUGAACCAGCCAAGUCGCGUGAGGGAAGACGGCCCUACGGGUUGUAAACCUCUUUUGUCAGGGAGUAAGGUGCAGGUCGGGACCUGCUGUGAGAGUACCUGAAGAAAAAGCAUCGGCUAACUCCGUGCCAGCAGCCGCGGUAAUACGGAGGAUGCGAGCGUUAUCCGGAUGUAGUGGGUUUAAAGGGUGCGCAGGCGGAGGCACAAGUCAGCGGUAAAAGCGCUGGGCUCAACCCCGCUCCGCCGUUGAAACUGUGACCCUUGAGUGCGCGAAGGGUAGGCGGAAUGCGUGGUGUAGCGGUGAAAUGCAUAGAUAUCACGCAGAACUCCGAGCGCGAAGGCAGCCUACCGGCGCGCAACUGACGCUCAUGCACGAAAGCGUGGGUAUCGAACAGGAGUAGAUACCCGGGUAGUC